Molecule: ribosomal RNA, 460 nt
Filed under: uncultured bacterium
Lineage: Bacteria
Description: bacterial SSU rRNA
Rfam family: Bacterial small subunit ribosomal RNA
Source: RNAcentral
ACUCCUACGGGAGGCAGCAGUGAGGAAUAUUGGACAAUGGGCGCAAGCCUGAUCCAGCCAUGCCGCGUGCAGGAAGACUGCCCUAUGGGUUGUAAACUGCUUUUAUACGGGAAGAAACACUCCCUCGUGAGGGAGCUUGACGGUACCGUAAGAAUAAGGAUCGGCUAACUCCGUGCCAGCAGCCGCGGUAAUACGGAGGAUCCAAGCGUUAUCCGGAAUCAUUGGGUUUAAAGGGUCCGUAGGUGGAUAAUUAAGUCAGAGGUGAAAUCCUGCAGCUCAACUGUAGAAUUGCCUUUGAUACUGGUUAUCUUGAGUCAUUAUGAAGUGGUUAGAAUAUGUAGUGUAGCGGUGAAAUGCAUAGAUAUUACAUAGAAUACCAAUUGCGAAGGCAGAUCACUAAUAAUGUACUGACACUGAUGGACGAAAGCGUGGGGAGCGAACAGGAUUAGAUACCCUGGUA